RNAcentral lists this ribosomal RNA (253 nucleotides) under uncultured bacterium. RNAcentral describes it as "partial 16S ribosomal RNA". It matches the Rfam family "Bacterial small subunit ribosomal RNA", at positions 524 to 776 of the family's 1533-position model. The record is from RNAcentral.
UACGUAGGGGGCUAGCGUUGUCCGGAAUCAUUGGGCGUAAAGCGCGUGUAGGCGGCCCGGUAAGUCCGCUGUGAAAGUCGGGGGCUCAACCCUCGAAAGCCGGUGGAUACUGUCGGGCUAGAGUACGGAAGAGGCGAGUGGAAUUCCUGGUGUAGCGGUGAAAUGCGCAGAUAUCAGGAAGAACACCUAUGGCGAAGGCAGCUCUCUGGGACGGUACUGACGCUGAGACGCGAAAGCGUGGGGAGCGAACAGG